RNAcentral lists this ribosomal RNA (468 nucleotides) under uncultured bacterium. Its description in RNAcentral is "partial 16S ribosomal RNA". It matches the Rfam family "Bacterial small subunit ribosomal RNA", at positions 28 to 507 of the family's 1533-position model. The record is from RNAcentral.
GACGAACGCUGGCGGCAUGCUUAACACAUGCAAGUCGAACGGGAAGGCCCUGCUUUUGUGGGGUGCUCGAGUUGCGAACGGGUGAGUAACCCUUGGGUAACCUGCACUUGACUUUGGGGUAACUUCAGGAAACUGGGGCUAAUCCCGGAUAGGAGCUCCUGCUGCAUGGUGGGGGUUGGAAGGUUUCGGCGGUUGGGGAUGGACUCGCGGCUUAUUAGCUUGUUGGUUGGGUAGUGUCUUACCAAGGCUUUGACGGGUAGCAUGGCUGAGCGGGUGACCUGCCACGUUGGGACGGAGAUACGACACAGACUCGUACGGUAGGCAACAGUGGAGAAUAUAGCACUAGAGACGGGAGCCAGACGUAGCCACGCCGCGUGCGGGAUGACAGCAUUGGGGUAGGAUUGCGAUGUCCUCUGUGACGAAGCGUGAGUGACAGUAAUGGGUAAAUAAGCACCGGCUAACUACGUG